UAGGGAAUCUUCGGCAAUGGACGAAAGUCUGACCGAGCAACGCCGCGUGAGUGAAGAAGGUUUUCGGAUCGUAAAACUCUGUUGUUAGAGAAGAACAAGGACGUUAGUAACUGAACGUCCCCUGACGGUAUCUAACCAGAAAGCCACGGCUAACUACGUGCCAGCAGCCGCGGUAAUACGUAGGUGGCAAGCGUUGUCCGGAUUUAUUGGGCGUAAAGCGAGCGCAGGCGGUUUCUUAAGUCUGAUGUGAAAGCCCCCGGCUCAACCGGGGAGGGUCAUUGGAAACUGGGAGACUUGAGUGCAGAAGAGGAGAGUGGAAUUCCAUGUGGAGCGGUGAAAUGCGUAGAUAUAUGGAGGAACACCGGUGGCGAAGGCGGCCCCCUGGACAAAGACCGACGCUAAGGUGCGAAAGCGUGGGGAGCAAACAGG
RNAcentral lists this ribosomal RNA (429 nucleotides) under Chloroflexota bacterium. RNAcentral describes it as "Chloroflexi bacterium partial 16S ribosomal RNA". It matches the Rfam family "Bacterial small subunit ribosomal RNA", at positions 355 to 776 of the family's 1533-position model. The record is from RNAcentral. Lineage: Bacteria; Bacillati; Chloroflexota.